RNAcentral lists this ribosomal RNA (248 nucleotides) under uncultured Oscillospiraceae bacterium. RNAcentral's name for it is "partial 16S ribosomal RNA". It matches the Rfam family "Bacterial small subunit ribosomal RNA", at positions 524 to 771 of the family's 1533-position model. Lineage: Bacteria; Bacillati; Bacillota; Clostridia; Eubacteriales; Oscillospiraceae. The record is from RNAcentral.
UACGUAGGUGGCAAGCGUUAUCCGGAUUUACUGGGUGUAAAGGGCGUGUAGGCGGGACUGCAAGUCAGAUGUGAAAACUAUGGGCUCAACUCAUAGCCUGCAUUGGAAACUGUAUUUCUAGAGUGUCGGAGAGGCAAGUGGAAUUCCUGGUGUAGCGGUGAAAUGCGUAGAUAUACGGAGGAACACCAGUGGCGAAGGCGGCCUGCUGGACAAUAACUGACGCUGAGGCGCGAAAGCGUGGGGAGCAA